Non-coding RNA from Octopus bimaculoides (California two-spot octopus), 107 nucleotides. The record is from Rfam. NCBI's taxonomy places the organism in Eukaryota, Metazoa, Mollusca, Cephalopoda, Octopoda, Octopodidae.
GAUCUGCUCGAUUGAUAACAUGUACUAAAAUUGGAACACUAAAGAAAAGAUUAGCAUGGCCUCCGCACAAGGAUGACACGCAAAGUCGUGAAGCGUUCCAUAUUUUU